AGAAAUUUAGCGUCUUAUUCAAGUGAAUAAUUUUAUUGAUAAAUUAAAAUAAAAGUGUCCAUUCCCGAAUAGGUCCGUGAACACACCUUUCACGUGACGUACGCACAAGCAAGCCUGAUUCGGCCAAUCAUGAGCCUUGUACCUUCCUAUACAAGCUACUGCCGCGCUGCUUACUACAGACUCGGGAGGAAGGCAACACGAACGGCUGCAACAGAGGUCGGACACCACCGUGGAUAGGACGCUGGGUACUUGCUGGGUGACGUUCAUUGUGGAAAUUGGCCAGGUGUGCCUGGUUGGCACAGAACCACACGAGGCGAGCUGACCCAAAAAGGAGCCUGAACCAGGUUACCAUCUCAACUCAGUCCUGUGGUCUGGUAGGGGCUGUUGCAGCCAGUCCUCCCCUGUUCUCUCUGUCCCCCGCUGUCCGCAUAUGAACUGCUUUGCGCUAUGGACUCUAUUUCAUAUCCCAACCUGUGUGGUUUCUAUGGACAAUGAUACAAAACUCUCUUAACUUUAUUGCGGACAGUAAAAUAUUUCCACCAAUAAGUGGAAAAAUUGUAGAGGAGAAAAGGAGAGUAUUAUACUCUGGUUGGUUGAUGGUGUUUCUAUUGUGCUUUGACCAGUGUUUUGUGAACUGUGACAAAAAAGGGAAAAAAUACUUUUUUGUGUGUGAACUACUCAAGCUUGAGGAUAUUCUUAAAUCUCUGCAGAUUGUAAAUAUGUAUCACUUCAACUCACUGUAAAUAAUACACAAGCUACUUUAAAAUCUA
Long non-coding RNA from Acanthochromis polyacanthus (spiny chromis), 770 nucleotides. RefSeq lists it as uncharacterized. NCBI's taxonomy places the organism in Eukaryota, Metazoa, Chordata, Actinopteri, Pomacentridae. The record is from RefSeq and is a predicted model, not a curated record. The transcript is spliced from 3 exons.